ACAGCAACCUUAAUUCCAACAGCAAGAUUUUGCUUUUGGUCUUAGGGUUCUGUUU
RNAcentral lists this microRNA precursor (55 nucleotides) under Panagrellus redivivus. Its description in RNAcentral is "microRNA prd-mir-7970 precursor". The record is from miRBase by way of RNAcentral. Lineage: Eukaryota; Metazoa; Nematoda; Chromadorea; Rhabditida; Panagrolaimidae.